RNAcentral lists this transfer RNA (87 nucleotides) under Solirubrobacterales bacterium 67-14. RNAcentral describes it as "tRNA-Leu". It matches the Rfam family "tRNA". From Rfam's summary of the family: Transfer RNA (tRNA) molecules are approximately 80 nucleotides in length. RNAcentral also lists the same sequence under 1 other name. The record is from RNAcentral. Lineage: Bacteria; Bacillati; Actinomycetota; Thermoleophilia; Solirubrobacterales.
GCGGCUGUGGCGGAAUUGGUAGACGCGCAAGCUUGAGGGGCUUGUGUCCGCAAGGACGUGGAGGUUCGACUCCUCUCAGCCGCACCA